This 253-nucleotide ribosomal RNA is filed under the name uncultured bacterium. RNAcentral describes it as "partial 16S ribosomal RNA". It matches the Rfam family "Bacterial small subunit ribosomal RNA", at positions 524 to 776 of the family's 1533-position model. The record is from RNAcentral.
UACGAAGGGUGCAAGCGUUACUCGGAAUUACUGGGCGUAAAGCGUGCGUAGGUGGUUCGUUAAGUCUGUCGUGAAAGCCCCGGGCUCAACCUGGGAAUGGCGAUGGAUACUGGCGGGCUAGAGUGCGGUAGAGGAGAGUGGAAUUCCCGGUGUAGCAGUGAAAUGCGUAGAGAUCGGGAGGAACAUCAGUUGCGAAGGCGGCUCUCUGGACCAGCACUGACACUGAUGCGCGACAGCGUGGGGAGCAAACAGG